UGACCCCAGAUAGCUUGCAGUCUCUCCAGU
RNAcentral lists this non-coding RNA (30 nucleotides) under Macaca fascicularis (crab-eating macaque). Lineage: Eukaryota; Metazoa; Chordata; Mammalia; Primates; Cercopithecidae. RNAcentral also lists the same sequence under 1 other name. The record is from RNAcentral.